GACAUUCAUUGCUUCAUUCCUCGGCGUGAAAGGCGCGCCUGUGCCCUCUUCAACGCAUUCCGCGUCUCUUCUCAUUGAAACCCUAUCUCUGACUAUUCGUCUCCGUCUCUCUCUCACGUUGACUUUCUCGUCUCUCACUCUCAAUCUCUUUUGCAGGCCAUCAUUUUCCCCAAGGCAAACAUUCCUAGGUGGAAGGUAUUGUUGGUAAAACCCUAACCCCUUCCUAAACCCUCGAAAUUCAUCUGCAUAUGCUAUUCUUAUGCUUAUGCUCUCGAAUUGGCCGUAAAGCAGUUUCAUCCUCCACUUCUCUCCUAUCUACAACUUCUCUCCGCCUCUGCUCCUCAGUUGCACAACCAACGGCGGGGACACAAGCUUCAAUGGCGGCGCAGCACCCUAAAGAUGAGCACUAUCUCAAUUCUGUCAUUCCUAAACGCAUCCAGCUUUUUCAGUCGAUACAAGCAAAGCUGCUCGCCGACCGUCGUUCUCUUCCCUCUGAUCCAAUCGAGAUCACCUUGCCGGAUGGGACGGUGAAGGCGGGUAAGAAAUGGCAAACAGCACCAAUAGAUGUAGCAAGAGAAAUCUCGAAAAGCUUGGCUGCGAAUGCUUUGAUUGCCCAAGUUGAUGGAGCUCUAUGGGACAUGUGUAGGCCGCUAGAAGGCGACUGUGAGCUUAAGCUGUUCACCUUCGAAAGCGAUGAAGGGCGCGACACAUUUUGGCAUUCUAGCGCUCAUAUACUUGGACAGUCGCUCGAGAUGGAGUAUGGUUGCAAGCUCUGCAUUGGACCCUGCACCACUAGAGGAGAGGGAUUCUAUUAUGAUGCUUUUUAUGAUGAUUUGGGCUUGAAUGAUGAUCACUUCAAGAAAAUUGAGUCUGGUGCAUUGAAGGCUGUAUCGGAGAAACAACCAUUUGAGCGCAUUGAAGUUUCAAGGGAACAAGCUCUUGAAAUCUUUUCUGACAAUAAAUUCAAGGUUGAAAUCAUCAAUGAUUUGCCAGAAGACAAGACUAUCACUGUUUAUAGAUGUGGUCCCUUGGUUGAUUUAUGUCGUGGUCCUCACAUACCAAAUACAUCAUUUGUGAAGGCAUUUGCAUGCCUGAAGGCAUCAUCGGCCUAUUGGAGGGGCAGUAAAGAUCGUGAAAGCCUACAAAGAGUGUAUGGGAUAUCUUAUCCUGAUAAAAAUCGUUUGAAGGAAUACAUCAAUAUGCUUGAGGAGGCAAAGAAGUAUGAUCAUAGAUUACUAGGUACAAAGCAGGAGCUUUUCUUUUGUCAUCCACUUAGCCCUGGAAGCUGGUUCUUCCUUCCUCAUGGGGCUCGGAUCUACCACAAACUGAUGGAGUUUAUGCGAGCUCAAUAUAGGGAUCGAGGUUAUGAAGAGGUUGUGUCACCAAAUAUGUUCAAUAUGCAACUAUGGGAAACGUCUGGUCAUGCUGCAAAUUACAAGGAGAAUAUGUUCUUAUUUGAGAUUGAAAAGCAGGAAUUUGGAUUGAAACCGAUGAAUUGCCCUGGCCACUGUUUGAUGUUUCAGCAUAGAGUUCGUUCUUAUAGGGAACUUCCUCUUCGGUUAGCUGAUUUUGGGGUCUUGCACCGUAAUGAGGCUAGUGGGGCACUGACUGGAUUGACUCGUGUGAGAAGAUUUCAGCAGGAUGAUGCUCAUAUCUUCUGUAGGGAGUCACAGAUAAAAGAUGAAGUCAGGGGAGUCCUAGAGUUCAUCCAAUAUGCUUAUGACAUUUUUGGGUUCACAUUUGAGCUGAAGCUAUCAACGAGGCCAGAGAAAUACCUUGGAGAUUUGGAAACAUGGGAGAAAGCUGAAGCUGCACUUACAGAAGCACUGAAUGAGUUUGGGAAGCCCUGGCAGAUCAAUGAAGGAGAUGGUGCAUUCUAUGGACCGAAGAUAGAUAUUAGUGUAUCCGAUGCAUUGAAAAGAAAAUUUCAAUGUGCAACCCUUCAGUUGGAUUUCCAGCUUCCUUCUCGCUUUGAUUUGUAUUACUCAGCAGAGGAUGAGGCCAAAAGGGAACGACCUGUUAUGAUUCAUAGAGCAAUCUUGGGGUCCGUUGAGAGAAUGUUUGCUAUUUUGUUGGAGCACUACAAAGGGAAGUGGCCCUUUUGGCUUAGUCCACGUCAAGCAAUUGUUUGCCCUGUAUCAGAAAAAUCUCAAUCUUAUGCACUGAAGGUGCGUGAUUUAAUUCAUGAUGCUGGUUUUUAUGUUGAUGUGGAUGUAACAGACCGAAAGAUUCAGAAGAAGGUGCGAGAAGCACAGUUGGCACAAUAUAACUACAUAUUAGUCGUUGGUGAGGAGGAGGCCAACACUGAACAGGUGAGUGUACGGGGGAGAGAUAAGGGUGAUCACUCAGUGAUGAGUAUCGAGAACCUGCUCGAACACUUCAAGAAAGAAGUUGCAGCCUUCCAUUAGAUCCUUUUGCAUUUGAAAAUAUAGCAAGUUGGGGGCAGUCGUCGUAAGAUAUUACUGAUAAACUCAUUGUUACGAGAAAGUGCAGAAGCCUACCGGUCAUGGAUGAAGGCGCCAAAACUAAGAAAACUUCCUGCCAGAAACUCAGAUAGUUUACUUGAAAUUGUUGUAUCUGAAAAAUAUGUGUGUUUAAAAAUGUCAUCCAGUUUAAUAUUGAUACAAGCUGAACUGCCAUGCCGCACCAAAAAUACAUCAAAAUUAAUAUUAUCAAAACGUGUUCGGUGACUUUGCCUUUAUGCAUAUGUAAUAUUAAUAGGGUUUACAUUUCUA
Molecule: RNA transcript, 2735 nt
Organism: Cucurbita moschata (crookneck pumpkin)
Lineage: Eukaryota; Viridiplantae; Streptophyta; Magnoliopsida; Cucurbitales; Cucurbitaceae
Gene name: threonine--tRNA ligase, mitochondrial 1-like
Exons: 21
Source: RefSeq, a predicted model, not a curated record